UACGAAGGGGGCUAGCGUUGCUCGGAAUCACUGGGCGUAAAGCGCACGUAGGCGGAUUGUUAAGUCAGGGGUGAAAUCCUGGAGCUCAACUCCAGAACUGCCUUUGAUACUGGCGAUCUCGAGUCCGGGAGAGGUGAGUGGAACUGCGAGUGUAGAGGUGAAAUUCGUAGAUAUUCGCAAGAACACCAGUGGCGAAGGCGGCUCACUGGCCCGGUACUGACGCUGAGAUACGAAAGCGUGGGGAGCAAACAGG
Molecule: ribosomal RNA, 253 nt
Filed under: uncultured bacterium
Lineage: Bacteria
Description: partial 16S ribosomal RNA
Rfam family: Bacterial small subunit ribosomal RNA
Source: RNAcentral